RNAcentral lists this ribosomal RNA (468 nucleotides) under uncultured bacterium. RNAcentral's name for it is "bacterial SSU rRNA". It matches the Rfam family "Bacterial small subunit ribosomal RNA", at positions 28 to 507 of the family's 1533-position model. The record is from RNAcentral.
GACGAACGCUGGCGGCGCGCCUAACACAUGCAAGUCGAACGAGCGAGAGAGAGCUUGCUUUCUCGAGCGAGUGGCGAACGGGUGAGUAACGCGUGAGGAACCUGCCUCAAAGAGGGGGACAACAGUUGGAAACGACUGCUAAUACCGCAUAAGCCCACGGGUCGGCAUCGACCAGAGGGAAAAGGAGCAAUCCGCUUUGAGAUGGCCUCGCGUCCGAUUAGCUAGUUGGUGAGGUAACGGCCCACCAAGGCAACGAUCGGUAGCCGGACUGAGAGGUUGAACGGCCACAUUGGGACUGAGACACGGCCCAGACUCCUACGGGAGGCAGCAGUGGGGGAUAUUGCGCAAUGGGGGAAACCCUGACGCAGCAACGCCGCGUGAAGGAUGAAGGUCUUCGGAUUGUAAACUUCUUUAUUAAGGACGAAGAAAGUGACGGUACUUAAUGAAUAAGCCCCGGCUAACUACGUG